CGGCGCUUUGAAGCAAAGACGUGCCUGUUUCCCACUGCUCCAAUGCUGGGAAGGGGCACAUAUAUCUUUUGGUACGCCAGGAGCAUUCCUCCAUUGUUACUCAGCCUUUUCUGUGUUUUUAAGAAACCUCUUCCAGCAGCCAAACUGCAAUCCUUGUACUGGUGAUCAGUGCUGCAGUGCUUUCCACGUUGGUGAUCUGCUGGAUCUGUUGCAAAGGCAGGCAGAUCGUCUCUUUGCUCACAGCUUGUACGACCAGUGCAGAUGCCAGUGCUGAGUGCACGACGGUGUAUGCCCAGGUGGGCUUCUCUCGGCAGGAUCACAUGCAGCAUUUCUCUAAUGCAGAGAAAAAUGAUGCAAAGACGACGCCGGCUACCAGUGAGGAAACCUCUAAAACUAUCUAUUCCACGGUGCAGGCCAUGGCCCAGGUGAGUCGCUACUAGCUGCCUUCCCUGGCCAGGCAGCGCGGCUGCUGGGAUGAGAAACUUAGCCACGGCGCAAAGGGCAGCACCCCGUUGGGUGCCGCUGCUCGGCCAGAAAGUGCCCAAACAUCUGCCCAGCACAGCGGUGCCUCUCUGCAGCUGCAAAUGGACGAUGAGAAGAUCUGCAAAAGCGUCCCGGGGCACCUGGAGCAGGGGGAGAAAAGCCUCUGCGUGGUGGUGAGCACGGUGCCAGCCCUGCAUGGCUCCAUGGGGCUGCUCUGAGCCUGGCUCCUCCUGGUGCUGCUGUUGGCUCGUGCACCGACAUCCCUCAAACCAGGCUGCCACCGACCUGCCUUUUGGGAAAGGACUCAGCCACAGCGGGAGGAUGCCUGCACCUAGGGAGAGACGCGUGUGCUGAGAUGCAGCUCUGCCUGUACUUUAGCAUCCGCCUGGGGUUCGGGCUCCUUCUUCUGUCCUCUAUGAGCAGAGCAAGGGACAUGCAACAAAAUGGU
This is a non-coding RNA of Struthio camelus australis, 931 nucleotides long. NCBI's taxonomy places the organism in Eukaryota, Metazoa, Chordata, Aves, Struthioniformes, Struthionidae. The record is from RefSeq and is a predicted model, not a curated record.